Non-coding RNA from Rhopilema esculentum, 2723 nucleotides. The record is from RefSeq and is a predicted model, not a curated record. Lineage: Eukaryota; Metazoa; Cnidaria; Scyphozoa; Rhizostomeae; Rhizostomatidae.
AAAGUUCUAUAGAAUAAGAUAAUGGAAUCUCUGUAACAGUUUGCCCCCGAAACAGUAAAUAGUCUAGCGAUUUGCUUUGUUGUGAUUAUCUUCUAUGGUUUAGUUGAUUUGGUGAUAUUUUAACAUUCAGUUGUGUUAUGGCACGAAAAUAAGGAACUUGUGUGGAUAAGGUUCUCUGUGCACCAAGACGGGGUGCAAAGUUCUAUAGAAUAAGAUAAUGGAUCUCUGUAACAGUUUGCCCCCGAAACAGUAAAUAGUCUAGCGAUUUGCUUUGUUGUGAUUAUCUUCUAUGGUUUAGUUGAUUUGGUGAUAUUUUAACAUUCAGUUGUGUUAUGGCACGAAAAUAAGGAACUUGUGUGGAUAAGGUUCUCUGUGCACCAAGACGGGGUGCAAAGUUCUAUAGAAUAGGAUAAUGGAAUCUCUGUAACAGUUUGCCCCCGAAACAGUAAAUAGUCUAGCGAUUUGCUUUGUUGUGAUUAUCUUCUAUGGUUUAGUUGAUUUGGUGAUAUUUUAACAUUCAGUUGUGUUAUGGCACGAAAAUAAAGAACUUGUGUGGAUAAGGUUCUCUGUGCACCAAGACGGGGUGCAAAGUUCUAUAGAUUAAGGUAAUGAACUCUCUGUAACAGUUUGCCCCCGAAACAGUAAAUAGUCUAGCGAUUUGCUUUGUUGUGAUUAUCUUCUAUGGUUUAGUUGAUUUGGUGAUAUUUUAACAUUCAGUUGUGUUAUGGCACGAAAAUAAGGAACUUGUGUGGAUAAGGUUCUCUGUGCACCAGGACGGGGUGCAAGGUUCUAUAGAAUAGGAUAAUGGACUCUCUGUAACAGUUUGCCCCCGAAACAGUAAAUAGUCUAGCGAUUUGCUUUGUUGUGAUUAUCUUCUAUGGUUUAGUUGAUUUGGUGAUAUUUUAACAUUCAGUUGUGUUAUGGCACGAAAAUAAGGAACUUGUGUGGAUAAGGUUCUCUGUGCACCAGGACGGGGUGCAAGGUUCUAUAGAAUAGGAUAAUGGACUCUCUGUAACAGUUUGCCCCCGAAACAGUAAAUAGUCUAGCGAUUUGCUUUGUUGUGAUUAUCUUCUAUGGUUUAGUUGAUUUGGUGAUAUUUUAACAUUCAGUUGUGUUAUGGCACGAAAAUAAGGAACUUGUGUGGAUAAGGUUCUCUGUGCACCAGGACGGGGUGCAAGGUUCUAUAGAAUAGGAUAAUGGACUCUCUGUAACAGUUUGCCCCCGAAACAGUAAAUAGUCUAGCGAUUUGCUUUGUUGUGAUUAUCUUCUAUGGUUUAGUUGAUUUGGUGAUAUUUUAACAUUCAGUUGUGUUAUGGCACGAAAAUAAGGAACUUGUGUGGAUAAGGUUCUCUGUGCACCAGGACGGGGUGCAAGGUUCUAUAGAAUAGGAUAAUGGACUCUCUGUAACAGUUUGCCCCCGAAACAGUAAAUAGUCUAGCGAUUUGCUUUGUUGUGAUUAUCUUCUAUGGUUUAGUUGAUUUGGUGAUAUUUUAACAUUCAGUUGUGUUAUGGCACGAAAAUAAGGAACUUGUGUGGAUAAGGUUCUCUGUGCACCAGGACGGGGUGCAAGGUUCUAUAGAAUAGGAUAAUGGACUCUCUGUAACAGUUUGCCCCCGAAACAGUAAAUAGUCUAGCGAUUUGCUUUGUUGUGAUUAUCUUCUAUGGUUUAGUUGAUUUGGUGAUAUUUUAACAUUCAGUUGUGUUAUGGCACGAAAAUAAGGAACUUGUGUGGAUAAGGUUCUCUGUGCACCAGGACGGGGUGCAAGGUUCUAUAGAAUAGGAUAAUGGACUCUCUGUAACAGUUUGCCCCCGAAACAGUAAAUAGUCUAGCGAUUUGCUUUGUUGUGAUUAUCUUCUAUGGUUUAGUUGAUUUGGUGAUAUUUUAACAUUCAGUUGUGUUAUGGCACGAAAAUAAGGAACUUGUGUGGAUAAGGUUCUCUGUGCACCAGGACGGGGUGCAAGGUUCUAUAGAAUAGGAUAAUGGACUCUCUGUAACAGUUUGCCCCCGAAACAGUAAAUAGUCUAGCGAUUUGCUUUGUUGUGAUUAUCUUCUAUGGUUUAGUUGAUUUGGUGAUAUUUUAACAUUCAGUUGUGUUAUGGCACGAAAAUAAGGAACUUGUGUGGAUAAGGUUCUCUGUGCACCAGGACGGGGUGCAAGGUUCUAUAGAAUAGGAUAAUGGACUCUCUGUAACAGUUUGCCCCCGAAACAGUAAAUAGUCUAGCGAUUUGCUUUGUUGUGAUUAUCUUCUAUGGUUUAGUUGAUUUGGUGAUAUUUUAACAUUCAGUUGUGUUAUGGCACGAAAAUAAGGAACUUGUGUGGAUAAGGUUCUCUGUGCACCAGGACGGGGUGCAAGGUUCUAUAGAAUAGGAUAAUGGACUCUCUGUAACAGUUUGCCCCCGAAACAGUAAAUAGUCUAGCGAUUUGCUUUGUUGUGAUUAUCUUCUAUGGUUUAGUUGAUUUGGUGAUAUUUUAACAUUCAGUUGUGUUAUGGCACGAAAAUAAGGAACUUGUGUGGAUAAGGUUCUCUGUGCACCAGGACGGGGUGCAAAGGUUCUAUAGAAUAGGAUAAUGGACUCUCUGUAACAGUUUGCCCCCGAAACAGUAAAUAGUCUAGCGAUUUUGCUAUGUUGUGAUUAUCUUCUAUGGUUUAGUUGAUUUGGUGAUAUUUUAACAUUCAGUUGUGUUAUCCGUUAAACCCUAGUUAUUUAUUAAAAUUUUAUUU